UGUGGUUCAGAAGCCUCUGCCUG
This 23-nucleotide non-coding RNA is filed under the name Rattus norvegicus (Norway rat). Lineage: Eukaryota; Metazoa; Chordata; Mammalia; Rodentia; Muridae. The record is from RNAcentral.